This is an RNA transcript of Setaria italica (foxtail millet), 4279 nucleotides long. It is a transcript of the gene named pentatricopeptide repeat-containing protein At1g11290, chloroplastic, with no coding region annotated. NCBI's taxonomy places the organism in Eukaryota, Viridiplantae, Streptophyta, Magnoliopsida, Poales, Poaceae. The transcript has 4 exons. The record is from RefSeq and is a predicted model, not a curated record.
AUACAGACCCCUAAUUUGGAUCGCGAUUAUUGAUCGCGAUCCGAAUAUUUGCAACAUGCCCCUAUAUAUUUUCAUAUUGCCCCCUAAUUUGGAUUGGGCCCUCCUCCCUCCCGUCCGGCGACGUCCGCCGCCGUCCUCCGGCCGUGCCGGGAGCGCGGAGCGCUAGCGCCCCAUGCAUCCUCCCUACCAAGGCGCCAAUUCACUCGUGCGCUCCUGGCCUCCUGGCUCCUGCAGGACGUAGCUCCAUCUCACCGGACGGCAGAGGGCAGAGGCCCGCGCGACAGGGCUCGCACCCAGGCCGAUCAUGUCGAACUCCAGCGGUGACGGGUCUGAGAUUGUGAAGAUGCUACAUCUGCUGGUCUCUACUCUAUCGCUGAAACGUCAUAGCCGAGGGCCUUUGCAAAUUGCAAGGUUGAGCACCUCCCGUGGUUCGCUCCGCUCCUCCUCCUGACCUCUUCCCGCAGGCCCCCAUAUCUUCUCUGUCCUGCCCAAUUUAUGGCCUUCGCAUAAGUUUCAACUGCCAUGGCCCAUGGGCCAUGGCCGUUCGUUUCGCUUUCCCCGCUCCAAACAACUCACCGCCUUACACCGAAGCCCCGCGCCGGCGCUGGCGCCGGCGGCUCGUCCGCACGGGAUGCGUACGCUCUACUCCGCCGUGAAGAGGAGGAUCAACUUGAGGCUGCGUCGCCCGCCUCUUGCCUCCCCAGCUACUCCUCCUCGCCACGGCUGUCACAGCCACAGCAGCUGCGGCCCUCGCGAGGCCGCCGUCUCGCACGACUCGCUCCUCCUCCGGCUGCAGUCGGGCCCCGUGCUCGCGGAGGUGCGGAGACUGCACGCUGCCCUGCUGGUCCGCGGGUACCGUCGCAGCACCGUCCUCGCCGCGCAGCUGGUGCGCGCGUACGCCAGGCUCGGGGACGCAGGGCUCGGGCACGCGCUACGCGUGUUCGACGGAAUGCCUAGGAGGAACUCCUUCGCGUGGAACGCGGUGAUCAAGGCCCUCGUUGACGCCGGCAGGUUCUCGGAAGCGCUGGAGCGCUACUGGGACAUGGUCAGUGACGGCUUGGUCGCUGCUGACCGUUUCACGUACCCGCCUGUUCUAAAAGCGUGCGCGGUGCUUGGAGCGAUUGAGCAGGGGAGAAGGGUCCGAGAGAACAUUGAGAUAGAAAUUGCCGGUGGCAGUGUGGUGCCCAAUGUGUUUGUGCAGUGUGCGCUCGUGGACAUGUUUGCCAAGUGUGGGUGCUUGGGUGAAGCGAGGAGUGUGUUUGAGAGCAUGGGAGUAAGGGACUUGGCUGCAUGGACUGCGAUUAUUGGAGGGGCCGUGCAUGAAGGGGACUGGUUCGAGGUGAUGAAUCUGUUCAAUCGCAUGAGGUCAGAAGGGUUCCUGCCUGAUUCUGUGAUUUUCGCCACUGUUAUUCCAGCAUGUGGUAGAGUGAAAGAGCUGAGGACUGGAAUGGCAUUGCAGGGAUGUGCAGUAAGAUGUGGAGUCGGUGAUGAUACCCGUGUUUCUAAUGCUUUAGUUGAUAUGUACUGCAAAUGUGCUUAUCUGGAUAUGGCAGCUUCUCUGUUUUGGUCUAUUGAUUGCAAGGAUGUAGUAUCUUGGAGCACCAUAAUCGCGGGGCAUUCACAAAAUGGAAUGUAUUGCUCAAGUGUCAAAUUGUUUACUGAAAUGGUUUCUUCAGGAGUAAAACCUAAUUCGACUACUCUGGCAACCAUACUUCCUAGUCUUUCAGAGCUGAAGUUAUCCAGGUAUGGAAAAGCAAUUCAUUGCUUCUCUGUAAGAAAUGGACUCGAUCGCAGUGAGUUUCUGGUGAGUGCAUUCAUUGACUUCUACAGUAAACAAGGACUCAUCGGGGAAGCAGAAACUGUAUUUGAGUUCACGCCUAAGAAAGAUUUAGUCAUUUGGAAUUCAAUGGUUGGAGGAUAUGCUGUGAAUGUGGAUUAUGAGUCUGCAUUACAUGCAUUAAGGGAACUGCAGAAAGUGGGACUUAGACCUGAUCAUGUGACUGUUGUUUCAGUUCUUCCGCUAUGCAAUCGACACUCCUGGCUCAUUCAGGGUAAGGAACUACAUGCUUAUGCCAUCAGGCAUAACAUAAGUUCAGUUUGCUCAGUUAGUAAUGCACUUAUAGAUAUGUACUGCAAGUGUGGUUGCCUAGAAAUAGCCAGCAGGAUAUUUCUAAUAAUGACAGAGCGCAAUACCAUUACAUACAACACUCUGAUGUCUUCUCUUGGAAAGCAUGGUCAUGACGAUCAAGCAUUCAUUCUUUUUGACCUAAUGAAGAGAGAUAGAAUUUUUCCAGAUAAAGUGACUUUUGUAGCUCUGUUAUCAUGUUGUAGCCAUGCAGGCCUUAUUGAUAAGGGCUUGUGCUUCUACGAUUCCAUGUUGCAGGACUAUAACAUCUCUCCAGAUAAGGAGCACUAUUCAUGCAUUGUUGACCUUUAUAGCAGAUCUGGGAAGCUUGAUGAUGCUUGGAGUUUUAUUACAAAUUUACAAGAAGUGCCAGAAAUCGAUGUUCUUGGGUGUCUAUUGUCAGCGUGCAGAGAGCAUAAUAGAAUGGACGUUGCUGAGCUUGUUGCAGAAAGAAUAUUUGAACAAAACCCCAGCGAUCCUGGUUAUCACAUUCUGCUGUCUAACAUCUAUGCGAAUGCUGGAAUGUGGUCUGAUGUGACUAGGAUAAGAACUAUGAUAGGAGAGAGGAACUUGAAGAAGAGAACAGGAAAUAGCUUGAUUUGACCAUCAGCUUGUGGUUCCUCAUACAUAUUCAUGUGUAUUUUGAAGGGAAAAAAAAAGAGCAUGGAACAAACAAGUAGAUAGGAAAUCCAAAAUUCCGUGACUGCCAUUUUCAAUGGUAACAUACAGAACUUUCAAAAAUGUGCAUGGUCGCUUAAUACCAUACCCUGGAUACAUAAGGCGAGGUCAAGUGUAAAACUGCUGAUAUAAAGGACAGCUCUAGCUACUUGAGAAUUAGUGAUAAGCCUGGGAGGGAGACUGGGAGAGCACCAGAGCAACAGCUACUGCAUCAAUACACUGUUCAGAGGGUUUUCUCUGGCGGAAAUUUUCGUAUUUGUGGGCAUAGGCGGUCACUAUCCACUGCUCCGAAGUCUUUUUGUGCUGCCUGCAGUUCUGAAGAAAUAGAAGUAAUGCAGCGCACAUACGACCCUCGGAUGCUUCUGCAAUUUAGAAGAACUGUGGAUUUUACGAGAUCAAAUUUGAAUUCUUCCAGUUUUUUUUCUGUUCGACUUUUUUUGUUGAUUGUGGAAAUAUUGUUUGACGUGAUUCGUGGGGCUUAUUUGCACAGGCAGACAGUAGGACCUCACAUAUCAAUGCAGUCUUUACUCAUGAAUCAGUUCACUUGUUGCUAUCAUAUACAACAAUGGUGUCUCCAUCAAUGGAUGUCAAAAGCAGAAAGAGCACCAAAAGUAGAAUUAGUAAAGCACCCGGAUUUCACUGAUGAUGCAUCAUAUGCAAUGCACAAGGGCAGUUAAUCAAUGAAGGUUCUGGGCCAACACGAAGAAGUGGGCUCACUUCAUGUCUUCAUCAGAUAGUGGAUACCCUGCUUGUCCUACUGAGAGCUGCUGCUAUCUGAAGUUUGUGCAUAGGAUUGAGUACAACAACGUGGCCUACAUUAUUACAGCCUUCUUCCAAUUCAGCUUCCUGGAAUCUAUGGAUAGAGUAGAUUGACUUGCAAGCUUCAAGAAAGCAAAGCUCAAAGCGAACGGGCAUCCUUAUCCGAUCCAGGUCACAUCUGUUCAUCGACUCUAUCAAAGCUCCAGUGGCCGGUGUGAUGUGAUUUGGACCACCUGCCAUCCUGCAACGAUAAGGACGCCCCUGGGAACGGGGUACCGGCCCACGCCCUCUCGACGUGCUGCACCCACCGGCCACCGACGACUCUCUGAAUUCACGGCCAUGGCUCGCUUGGCUAUCAGCCUACAUCACCCAGAAGUAAACGUGUAGCAGCUGCAGCCUGCAAGAGACGAGCUUGGGUGCUUGUUUGGUUUGGUCUGAUGAUUCGUUGGCACUGCCUGCCAUUGCAGGACAGUGGUGUUUGAUAGCGGCCUGUCGGGGGUGGUCCGGGUCCAUUCAUCAUCAUUCAUGGGCGUUGCCGCGUUGGAAUGGGCAAUGGCGUGGCCGCCUGGCCGGUGGGUGCCGACAUGUCCACACUCCACAGGCCAUUCUACUAUUGUAAUUGUCUAGCAAGGUUUAUACAUUACGUGGUUUUCAAGAACAUUAUGCAUCAUGUCACACUGGUAAUUUGAAAUUAUGCUGAUGUGAUCCUUAACUCCU